RNAcentral lists this ribosomal RNA (200 nucleotides) under uncultured bacterium. RNAcentral's name for it is "partial 16S ribosomal RNA". It matches the Rfam family "Bacterial small subunit ribosomal RNA", at positions 30 to 232 of the family's 1533-position model. The record is from RNAcentral.
AUUGAACGCUGGCGGCAUGCCUUACACAUGCAAGUCGAACGGUAACGCGGGGCAACCUGGCGACGAGUGGCGAACGGGUGAGUAAUGCAUCGGAACGUGCCCAGUAGUGGGGGAUAGCCCGGCGAAAGCCGGAUUAAUACCGCAUACGACCUAUGGGUGAAAGCGGGGGACCGUAAGGCCUCGCGCUAUUGGAGCGGCCG